Non-coding RNA from Oryctolagus cuniculus (rabbit), 863 nucleotides. NCBI's taxonomy places the organism in Eukaryota, Metazoa, Chordata, Mammalia, Lagomorpha, Leporidae. The record is from RefSeq and is a predicted model, not a curated record.
AAUCCCAUCAUACUCUCACUGUGGCAGUAGGAACACUCCACCGGAUGGAAGACUAAGGGGAGAGUACAUGGAGACAAAACAAGAAAGCAAAAGUAUGAACCAGAAUAAGGAAAAACACAGCUCAAUAGCAAAGCACUUUUCCACUGAGGGCCAUGAUUUCAGGAAACCAGCACAGUUCACUGAAAGACUCAGAAGUACAAAGGAUGAAUGCAGCUGACCAUCCAGUGGGCAGAGAGCAAAGCAAGUGUAGAGAAGUGGAAAAGGGAAAAUUAAAGCAGACAAAGUUAACUGUUUGAGAUUCGAAGCUUGUGAAUGAUCAAAUUCAAGCAGUUGUCUACAUGCUGUGAGCCAGACACCAAAACAACAAUAAAAUAACAACAACAACUCUUUGGUAAAGUUAUUCUCUAACCAGCCAGCAAAAAUAAAGCAAAUAUGAGUAGAUGAAAAUAAAAAGCAAAGUGAAAAUAUAAAGACAUAGCCAGUUCUGAAUGUGUUAUCCCCUAAACACGCGUUAUGAUCUCCUUUUUCUGGCUCUUGGGAAAGACGAAGGUGGAACUUGAAUCCAGGGACAACUGUUGUGGGACAGUACCUAAGAAGCUGAUCUCCUGCAGCAGGAAACACUGAAACCGAAGGAAUGAAAUUACAGCUUUACGACUGGAAAAUGACUAGUUCUGGAACUGUAAACAGUCAUCUGAACUCAUCCUGCAUAAUAAUACGGGCCUUGAUUGUGCUCUGCUUCUGCUUUAUGGAUGAGAAGCAUUAAAAAUAAAAACAACCCACACUUGUUAGUGAUGGCAGAGAAACUAGCAGUUCAUUCUUUAAACUUUUUCUGUGAGUACAGGGGAUAAAGUCAAAACUUUGAA